Molecule: non-coding RNA, 79 nt
Organism: Erinaceus europaeus (western European hedgehog)
Lineage: Eukaryota; Metazoa; Chordata; Mammalia; Eulipotyphla; Erinaceidae
Source: Rfam
CAGAGUUAGCUGCAGAUUUAAUUCACAUUCCAAGUAACAAUAAACAUUAGAAUUUCUUUUGCAAAGAUGAAGAAGAAAA